CGGGCGCGGAAUUCUGUGACAUCACUCUGUUGCUUGACGGGCACCCACGGCCAGCCCACAAGGCUAUCCUGGCCGCCCGCUCCAGCUACUUUGAAGCCAUGUUCCGGUCCUUCAUGCCCGAGGACGGGCAGGUGAACAUCUCCAUCGGGGAGAUGGUGCCCAGCAGGCAGGCCUUCGAGUCCAUGCUGCGCUACAUCUACUACGGCGAGGUCAACAUGCCGCCCGAGGACUCGCUCUACUUGUUUGCGGCCCCCUACUACUACGGCUUCUACAACAACCGGCUGCAGGCGUACUGCAAGCAGAACCUGGAGAUGAACGUGACGGUGCAGAACGUGCUGCAGGUAGCCCCCCAGCCCCGUGCACACGGCUGCAGCUCCCACUGAGUGGGUGAAAGGGGCAGCGCCUCAAGGUCCCUGCCAUUGCAGAUCCUGGAGGCAGCUGACAAAACGCAGGCGCUGGACAUGAAGCGGCACUGCCUGCACAUCAUCGUGCACCAGUUCACCAAGGUCUCCAAGUUGCCCACGCUGCGGUCGCUGAGCCAGCAGCUGCUGCUGGACAUCAUAGACUCCCUGGCCUCCCACAUCUCAGACAAGCAGUGCGCAGAGCUGGGCGCCGACAUCUGAGGCCCUGUGGCGCCCGCCCAUUGUGAAGAAUCGCCAUGCCUGCCUGCCCUGCCUACUGAGAAGACUACCGGCUAUGCGCAUGCCUAUGGCAGUGGGUGCACCUGCCAGGCCAAGGGUUAGGGUGCCCAGAGCCUCCAAAGAGAGCUGAGGGGAUGUGGGGCCCCAAACUCCUUAAUUCACUGAAGACACAGGUCCCACAGGGAGCGGAUGAUGAAGCAGACCCCCUCCCCUGUCAUCACCCUCUCCUGGUGUAGUGUGGAUGCGAGGCCACGGCUCAGUGAUGGGCUCACCACCCAGAAGUGGGGAGAGACCUUGGGCCUCCCACCCAGUGGGGCUUGGCCUGGCUCCUGUGGCCUGGGCGUGUUGUGGACUCAGGCACUGGGGCCUGUCACCAAGGCUCCUCCAACAUGCGGGAGGCGGCUU
Molecule: small RNA, 1046 nt
Filed under: Pan troglodytes (chimpanzee)
Lineage: Eukaryota; Metazoa; Chordata; Mammalia; Primates; Hominidae
Description: retained intron
Source: RNAcentral